Molecule: ribosomal RNA, 477 nt
Filed under: uncultured bacterium
Lineage: Bacteria
Description: partial 16S ribosomal RNA
Rfam family: Bacterial small subunit ribosomal RNA
Source: RNAcentral
GACGAACGCUGGCGGCGUGCUUAACACAUGCAAGUCGAACGGUAAGGCCCUUCGGGGUACACGAGUGGCGAACGGGUGAGUAACACGUGGGUGAUCUGACCUGCACUUCGGGAUAAGCAUGGGAAACUGGGUCUAAUACCGGAUAGGACUCCUGCCUGCAUGGGUGGGGGUGGAAAGCUUUUGUGGUGUGGGAUGGGCCCGCGGCCUAUCAGCUUGGUGGUGGGGUGAGGGCCUACCAAGGCGACGACGGGUAGCCGGCCUGAGAAGGUGACCUGCACACUGGGACUGAGAUACUGCCCAGACUCCUACGGGAGGCAGCAGUGGGGAAUAUUGCACAAUGCGCGCAAGCCUGAUGCAGCGACGCCGCGUGAGGGAUGACGGCCUUCGGGUUGUAAACCUCAUUCAGCACAGACGAAGCGCAAGUGACGGUAUGUGCAGAAGAAGGACCGGCCAACUACGUGCCAGCCGCCGCGGUAA